ACAUUGUAUCAAACAUCACAACAAACCAACUGACAACCUAAAUUGGUUUGUUGCCGCCAUGCUCGGAUUCAGCCUUUGGACCCACAAGUAGAACCAACAAGUCCAAUCGUAGAUUCAUCCUCUGUGGUUCAGGACUCAUCACGAUGGACGAUAACACAAAGCGUUCUUCAUUUAGCAUGGAAAAUGCAUGAGCACUGUAAUAGUUUCCUUUGGUAUCGUUGUGCUCUACGAUCAACACACAUCCAGAAACACACACACAUACAAUUAAAUCACAGCAUUUGUGAUGCUGUGACAUCACAUUCUCUUGCUGUUGAGGU
This is a long non-coding RNA of Gambusia affinis (western mosquitofish), 317 nucleotides long. RefSeq lists it as uncharacterized. The transcript is spliced from 3 exons. The record is from RefSeq and is a predicted model, not a curated record. Lineage: Eukaryota; Metazoa; Chordata; Actinopteri; Cyprinodontiformes; Poeciliidae.